Molecule: long non-coding RNA, 517 nt
Organism: Apis cerana (Asiatic honeybee)
Lineage: Eukaryota; Metazoa; Arthropoda; Insecta; Hymenoptera; Apidae
Source: RefSeq, a predicted model, not a curated record
CAGAAACUCGGCGCCGGUAUAUCACGAUGCUCGCUUGGGUGCAACACGAGAGAUUGUGGGUGGUCAGAGGCGGUUGUUGUGUACGUGCACUCCAGGUACACACAUAAAUACCGUGCCUCUGAUAACCAGCGUGUCAUUAGCCUGUCAAGCUGACGACGAGACGACGCGCGGCAUCUGAUUUCAUCCGGCAUCAAUGAUCGAGAUCAAUUUGUGCACGAAUACGAGAGCAGCAAAGUAGAUCGAUAUGAAUCGGAAAUGGAUAUACGAGAUGGUGUAAUUUGUCGGCGAGGAGAUACAGUUGGUUUAGUGUUCCGUAAUGAAUCUCGUAUGUGAUAUAUAUCUGUAAGAUUAGUAUCUAGAAAUGUGCAUUUGUAGUUUGUUUCUUUUUAUGUAAAAUAAUAAUUAAAAUUGAAAUAAUCGAAAAAUUCUUGCAAUUAUUAUUUUGUUUCAUUUCUUCAUAUAUAUGUAUAUGGUGUAAUAGUAGAAGGAAACAAUAAAAAAAUUUUUAGAAAUUAAA